Long non-coding RNA from Manis pentadactyla (Chinese pangolin), 1364 nucleotides. RefSeq lists it as uncharacterized. The record is from RefSeq and is a predicted model, not a curated record. Lineage: Eukaryota; Metazoa; Chordata; Mammalia; Pholidota; Manidae. The transcript has 3 exons.
CUGGGUCUGCCGGCCCUCUCCUCGGUGCUGAGCCCACAGGCUUCCUCCUGCACCCCGCCGUCCCGAACCGCUUUACUCUGCGCAGUCUUCAGGCAGUGCCUACGAUCUUCGAGCCAGUCCCUUGAAAGAGGCAAUUGCAGGCAUUGGGACAGAUCAAAAGCUGAACUGGGAGAGCGCGGCAGCUGCAGAAUACCAAAGAUGAGCCCAGAGCAGCCCACCUCACCCUCCUGUGGCAUGAAUGCACAGGUCUGUAGCUGCACCAGCUUUCCCACUGCCGUCUGACAUUUCUGGAUUUGCUUCUGCACCUAGCACAGUGCUCCAUAAACUAAAAAUAGUGCAACCCAUCAGUACACAGGGCCGCUUAAGAGCCAAGCACUCAGGCUCCAGUACUCAGCAACUUGACUGCCAGAGACUUGGGCUUCCCCAACUCUCAAGUUCAACUUGCCUUCUUCACCCAGCCACCUCCACACACCAGCUUGGUUUCAGGAGUGCUUGGGACAACAGGCAGAAUCAUAUCCCUCCUGGGCAAAGCCUUGCUUUUUGUCCAUAUAAAUCUCUUCCUGGGUGAGGACAUGAUGGGGGAAAGGUGCAGCAAGAGGUCAAGGAGUGGGGGAGGCUGUCCCUAAGAGACCUACAGCCCACCAGCCCGGUUUCUGCCAGCACUGCCUCGAGACAGGCAGGCAGUGAGCAUGGGGUCAGGGAUGGGGGCCCUAGAGGGACCUGUCAGAGCUCCCUGACUGGAAUUUUACUUUGUUAUUUUAAUGCAAUUCUGACCUGGAUUUAAAUGGAAUUGGAAAUCUGAAGACUUAAUAAAUAAAUAUUAUGAUAAGAAAUGAGAGCCAUGCAAGACGCAAGAGAUUUUCCCCCAAAGAGCCAGAAGGUGAUUGAUAUUCUUGCCGGGAGCCAGAGUCACAGAAAUUUGCUUCUUUUCUUCAGUCCCCUACCCUCCAGUGGGAGAUGAAUUCAUUUUUUCUUAAAAGAUCCUAUUUUUCUUGAACGUUUUUCUACUGAUAAGACAACAACUUCGAAACUUCUGUCUAACUUUGCAUGAGGGUUGGGGUGAGGGGAAGAACUAUGUGACAUGGCUGAGAAGUUUUCAUUCCCUCAGCCUUUCCAGGCCACAACUUCAGUUUCCGGCAAUGUUUAAGAAAAGGCAAGAUUUUCUUUCCCACUUUCGGACUACACGAAAUCUUUCGAAGAUGCUGGGGUGGCAGUGAAGUCGGGCAGAAUUCUGAGGUGCGUGGUCACUUCUGCCCAGGGCCCCCCAGACUUCUCACUCAUCCGUGCCGCCCCACGGCUCCUCCAGCCUUCCGUCCUGAGCGCAGCUCCCAGAGGUCAGGUCCCCGGCUGAGGAGUUACGGGUG